AACACGUGAGCAACCUGCCCCAGGCUUUGGGAUAACCCCGGGAAACCGGGGCUAAUACCGAAUAUGACCUCUGACCGCAUGGUUGGUGGUGGAAAGUUUUUCGGCUUGGGAUGGGCUCGCGGCCUAUCAGCUUGUUGGUGGGGUGAUGGCCUACCAAGGCGACGACGGGUAGCCGGCCUGAGAGGGCGACCGGCCACACUGGGACUGAGACACGGCCCAGACUCCUACGGGAGGCAGCAGUGGGGAAUAUUGCACAAUGGGCGGAAGCCUGAUGCAGCGACGCCGCGUGAGGGAUGACGGCCUUCGGGUUGUAAACCUCUUUCAGCAGGGACGAAGCGUAAGUGACGGUACCUGCAGAAGAAGCGCCGGCCAACUACGUGCCAGCAGCCGCGGUAAGACGUAGGGCGCGAGCGUUGUCCGGAUUUAUUGGGCGUAAAGAGCUCGUAGGCGGCUUGUCGCGUCGACCGUGAAAACUUGGGG
This 480-nucleotide ribosomal RNA is filed under the name Micromonospora sp. Its description in RNAcentral is "bacterial SSU rRNA". It matches the Rfam family "Bacterial small subunit ribosomal RNA", at positions 112 to 607 of the family's 1533-position model. Lineage: Bacteria; Bacillati; Actinomycetota; Actinomycetes; Micromonosporales; Micromonosporaceae. The record is from RNAcentral.